Molecule: long non-coding RNA, 1253 nt
Organism: Canis lupus familiaris (dog)
Lineage: Eukaryota; Metazoa; Chordata; Mammalia; Carnivora; Canidae
Exons: 3
Source: RefSeq, a predicted model, not a curated record
AAUUAGGUGUUGGAACGUCAACCUUCAAUGAGCAGAAAGUGGGUUUCCAAAGAUUUUCUGCCUCCAGAAGAACAGAAGCAGAGGCCGAGGGAGAAGCAGAGUCCCUGCAGAGCACGGAGCUCGAUGGGGGCUCGACCCCAGGGCCCCGGGAUCUGACCGAGCUGAAGGCAGCCGCUGAGCCGACUGAGCCACCUGGGCGACCGUUUGGUUAUUUCUUACCAACUCCUUGGCAAGUUGUCACAACCAGUUCUGGACUUGCAGGAAUAUAUUUGCAGGCUCCUGGCCCAGGGACUCAAACCAAAGACCCUCUCUGAUGGGAAACACGUCCCUGCCCUCUGAGCUGCGAUUCGGGACCCUUGUCUAUGGGAGCAUCGCAGCACGGUUUCCUAAGACGCUCAGGACACAACUUGGCUUCAGUGGUUUUAGCGCCCUGCUGUCUCCAGGGAGGAUGCAAACCGAGUCUUAGAGACCUAACUCGGCCCAAACUCUUCAAACACCGGCCCCGUGGAAGCUGGAGGGUGCCUUUAUGUUCAGAGAUAUCAAAGAAAUCCUCCCUGGCUUCCUUCCGAGCUCUCUCGGAUGUCUUGAACAUUCCAGCAAGCCCCAGCUCGGAGUCGGCGGGAAGCGGGAAGGCACACGCUCUUGAACUUUUGAACUCAGCCACAGCAUCUAUUUUCUCCAUUCUGUUUGUUGACUCCUCUUUGAUCUCAUCUUAUUAGAAGGAUAAUACCCUAACGUUUUUGGCAUAUUUAAAAUCAACUGCUCCUACGGUCCUCCGGGGGGCUCGGCUUAACUUUAGCCUUUCCCCAGUCCCUGAAGCUCUUCACGGCAGGCAGUGCGCACUUACCUUCGUGGAAAAUUGUUAAGUAAUUCCCCCUAACGGGGAAUUUACUUUUCUGAAUACACAGUAGGCAGGGUUAUUUGUAUUUCAUUUCAUCAUCUGAACGUGAACCUAUUUCUAAUUUUGUGAGUAUCUUUGAAAGCUUCCCCAUCCAAUAAAAGGCCCACAAGGUGGACAGAAGCCUUGUGUGUGGUGGUCGCGGUGGCGGCAGCAGUCGGUGGCGGUGGUGGCGGUAGGGCUGCCUUUUGCCGUUCGGCCACUCGGCCAGAGCCUUACUUUCAGAAAGGGCCUCACAUUUAUAGGUUUUGCUGUAACCUCAAGGUGGGGAAAUAAUAUGUAGUUACACACAUAACGCGAAGGAUUGAAGGAGGACCGUCCUUCACUUCGGACCCGGGUUCAUUGCUGAGCCGAA